Molecule: long non-coding RNA, 436 nt
Filed under: Homo sapiens (human)
Lineage: Eukaryota; Metazoa; Chordata; Mammalia; Primates; Hominidae
Description: HSALNT0387441
Source: RNAcentral
GAAAAUAAAAAUGUUUAUUUAAAUCAUACUUCUAAGCACACUUUCUUAUUUCAGUUCAUAUACAGCCUAAAGUUUUUAGAGCUGGUCAAUCCAGUAAGAACACUACAAAUCCAAAUGAUUUGAUAAAAAUCUUGGCAGCAGAGGAGGAGAGGAGGAGAAAACAAGAUUCCAAGCCACUAACACACACUUCCUGUUUCAAACGCAGACACCAAGUGGCUUCAGCAUGAGUCAGCGGCAAACACCCUCAAGUCAUGAGCUGGAACGCUCAGAAACGAUAUGUACCUUCAAUCAAAUUACAGAAUUAACUAGGGGAAAAUGAGGAAGAACUUUAGGUACAGACAGCGAGAGAUCUUCAAAAUACUAUUAAAAGAAGAAAGCACUCUCGGUGUAAAAAAGAAGCCGAGGCGAGCAGAUCACUUGACUUCAGGAGUUCAAG